RNAcentral lists this ribosomal RNA (460 nucleotides) under uncultured bacterium. RNAcentral's name for it is "partial 16S ribosomal RNA". It matches the Rfam family "Bacterial small subunit ribosomal RNA", at positions 338 to 795 of the family's 1533-position model. The record is from RNAcentral.
CCUACGGGCGGCAGCAGUGAGGAAUAUUGGUCAAUGGACGGAAGUCUGAACCAGCCAUGCCGCGUGCAGGAAGACGGCUCUAUGAGUUGUAAACUUCUUUUAUACAAGGGUAAACCUGAAUACGUGUGUUCAUCUGAAAGUACUUUCUGAAUAAGGAUCGGCUAACUCCGUGCCAGCAGCCGCGGUAAUACGGAGGAUCCAAGCGUUAUCCGGAUUUAUUGGGUUUAAAGGGUGCGUAGGUGGAUUGAUAAGUGAGAGGUGAAAUGUUCGGGCUUAACUCGGAAAUUGCCUUUAAUACUGGCGGUCUAGAGUGUAGAUGCGGUAGGCGGAAUGUGUGGUGUAGCGGUGAAAUGCUUAGAGAUCACGCAGAACACCGAUUGCGAAGGCAGCUUACUAAGCUAUAACUGACGUUGAGGCACGAAAGCGUGGGGAUCAAACAGGAUUAGAUACCCCGGUAGUC